RNAcentral lists this ribosomal RNA (668 nucleotides) under uncultured bacterium. RNAcentral's name for it is "bacterial SSU rRNA". It matches the Rfam family "Bacterial small subunit ribosomal RNA", at positions 9 to 692 of the family's 1533-position model. The record is from RNAcentral.
GAGUUUGAUCCUGGCUCAGGAUGAACGCUGGCGGCGUGCUUAACACAUGCAAGUCAAACGAAGAAGUUUUAGUUUACUAGAACAACUGAGUGGCGGACGGGUGAGUAACGCGUGGGUAACCUGCCCUAUGGAGGGGGACAACAGUGGGAAACUGCUGCUAAUACCGCAUACCUUAUUAAGAUUGCAUGGUCAUAAUAAGAAAGAGUUAUCGCCAUAGGAUGGGCCCGCGUCUGAUUAGCCAGUUGGUAGGGUAACGGCCUACCAAAGCAACGAUCAGUAGCCGGCCUGAGAGGGUGAACGGCCACAUUGGGACUGAGACACGGCCCAGACUCCUACGGGAGGCAGCAGUGGGGGAUAUUGCACAAUGGGGGGAACCCUGAUGCAGCAACGCCGCGUGAGUGAAGAAGUAUUUCGGUAUGUAAAGCUCUAUCAGCAGGGGAGAUGAUGACGGUACCUGCAUAAGAAGCCCCGGCUAACUACGUGCCAGCAGCCGCGGUAAUACGUAGGGGGCAAGCGUUAUCCGGAUUUACUGGGUGUAAAGGGAGUGUAGGCGGUACGGCAAGUCUGAUGUGAAAACCCUAAGCUCAACUAAGGGAGUGCAUUGGAAACUGUCGGACUAGAGUGUGGGAGAGGCAGGCGGAAUUCCUAGUGUAGCGGUGAAAUGCGUA